Molecule: ribosomal RNA, 492 nt
Filed under: uncultured bacterium
Lineage: Bacteria
Description: partial 16S ribosomal RNA
Rfam family: Bacterial small subunit ribosomal RNA
Source: RNAcentral
AGUGAACGCUGGCGGUAGGCCUAACACAUGCAAGUCGAACGGCAGCACAGUAAGAGCUUGCCCUUACGGGUGGCGAGUGGCGGACGGGUGAGGAAUACAUCGGAAUCUACUUUUUCGUGGGGGAUAACGUAGGGAAACUUACGCUAAUACCGCAUACGAUCUACGGGUGAAAGCAGGGGAUCUUCGGACCUUUCGCGAUUGAAUGAGCCGAUGUCGGAUUAGCUAGUUGGCGGGGUAAAGGCCCACCAAGGCAACGAUCCGUAGCUGGUCUGAGAGGAUGAUCAGCCACACUGGAACUGAGACACGGUCCAGACUCCUACGGGAGGCAGCAGUGGGGAAUAUUGGACAAUGGGCGAAAGCCUGAUCCAGCCAUACCGCGUGGGUGAUGAAGGCCUUCGGGUUGUAAAGCCCUUUUGUUGGGAAAGAAAAGCAGCAUAUGAAUACCCCGCUGUUCUGACGGUACCCAAAGAGUAAGCACCGGCUAACUUCGUG